Transfer RNA from Aspergillus carbonarius ITEM 5010, 72 nucleotides. It matches the Rfam family "tRNA". Rfam says of the family: Transfer RNA (tRNA) molecules are approximately 80 nucleotides in length. Their secondary structure includes four short double-helical elements and three loops (D, anti-codon, and T loops). The record is from Rfam. NCBI's taxonomy places the organism in Eukaryota, Fungi, Ascomycota, Eurotiomycetes, Eurotiales, Aspergillaceae.
GGCCUUAUAGCUCAAUGGUAGGGCGUCAGUUUUCGGUACUGAAGAUUCUGGGUUCGAGUCCCAGUGGGGUCG